Molecule: long non-coding RNA, 190 nt
Organism: Cervus elaphus (red deer)
Lineage: Eukaryota; Metazoa; Chordata; Mammalia; Artiodactyla; Cervidae
Exons: 3
Source: RefSeq, a predicted model, not a curated record
AAGGUGGCUUUUAUUUGAAUGAUAGCUUAUGGUGAACAGUGUCGGAUUCAUGACCUUAGAAGAAGAUUUAACUUUGGGAACAGGGACCAGGCUUAAUCACUCAAGAGCUUUUGUAUAGCAGAGUUUUAUUAAAGUAAGACAAAGGGCAGAGAGAGCUUCUGACACAGACAUCAGAAGGGGAACGGAGAGU